CGUCGUAAAACCUGAGAAAUCUAAUUCACCAAUCAAACAAGGUUAGAUCGCGAAACCGAGGUCGCAAUGAAGAUAGCUUCAAACUUGACCAGAAGUGUGAAAGGGUAAGAGAAAGAGAGGAUUGAAGCUCGAUUUUUGUGCAUCAUGGUCGAUCGGAGCGAGAAGACAAGAGAAUCAGACAUAAGUGAGCUCCUUGGCCCCUCCGAUGGCUGGCGAAUCUAGAGCUGCGAUGAAUUAAACGAGCUCGUCGAUGGAGGCAACUGACGGCGUCGAUCUAGAUCAUGAUCCCCGAGGUCUCUCUGGCGAAGAAUCGGGAUGAGAUCUGAAAGAGGAAGGAAUACCCAAGUCCAGUUCUGGCCUUCGUUCUCGGAUUUUUAGUUUGCUGGUGUCCAUAUAGUCUUUUGGGUUUGCGUUGAAUAGGGAACCAAUCGGUCAUGUGUUCGAUUGCUAUGGAACUUAGGAAU
RNAcentral lists this long non-coding RNA (464 nucleotides) under Rosa chinensis. Its description in RNAcentral is "sRNA RchiOBHm_Chr5g0000921". Lineage: Eukaryota; Viridiplantae; Streptophyta; Magnoliopsida; Rosales; Rosaceae. The record is from RNAcentral.